This 254-nucleotide ribosomal RNA is filed under the name uncultured bacterium. RNAcentral describes it as "partial 16S ribosomal RNA". It matches the Rfam family "Bacterial small subunit ribosomal RNA", at positions 524 to 776 of the family's 1533-position model. The record is from RNAcentral.
UACAGAGGGGGCAAGCGUUGUUCGGAUUUACUGGGCGUAAAGGGCGCGUAGGCGGCCACCGCAAGUCGACUGUGAAAUCUCCGGGCUUAACCCGGAAAGGUCAGCCGAUACUGCGGGGCUAGAGUGCAGAAGGGGCAACUGGAAUUCUCGGUGUAGCGGUGAAAUGCGUAGAUAUCGAGAGGAACACCUGCGGCGAAGGCGGGUUGCUGGGCUGACACUGACGCUGAGGCGCGAAAGCUAGGGGAGCGAACGGG